CCUACGGGUGGCAGCAGUGGGGAAUAUUGCGCAAUGGGCGAAAGCCUGACGCAGCGACGCCGCGUGAGGGAUGAAGGUCUUCUGAUCGUAAACCUCUGUCAGCAGGGAAGAACGGUCCCUGUGCUAAUCAGCAGUGAAUUGACGUUACCUGCAAAGGAAGCACCGGCUCACUCCGUGCCAGCAGCCGCGGUAAUCCGGCGGGUGCGAGCGUUAAUCGGAUUUACUGGGCGUAAAGCGCGCGUAGGCGGUAUGUCAAGUCAAGGGUGAAAUCCCCGGGCUCAACGUUGGAACUGCCUUUGAAACUGGGAGGCUGGAGUGUGUGAGAGGAAAGUGGAA
This 336-nucleotide ribosomal RNA is filed under the name uncultured bacterium. RNAcentral describes it as "partial 16S ribosomal RNA". It matches the Rfam family "Bacterial small subunit ribosomal RNA", at positions 338 to 666 of the family's 1533-position model. The record is from RNAcentral.